Molecule: ribosomal RNA, 748 nt
Filed under: uncultured Glomus
Lineage: Eukaryota; Fungi; Glomeromycota; Glomeromycetes; Glomerales; Glomeraceae
Description: SSU rRNA
Rfam family: Eukaryotic small subunit ribosomal RNA
Source: RNAcentral
GGGUGUUAGGGCACGACACCGGAGAGGGAGCCUGAGAAACGGCUACCACNUCNAAGGAUGGCAGCAGGCGCGCAAAUUACCCAAUCCCAACACGGGGAGGUAGUGACAAGAAAUAACAAUACGGGGUUCUUUCGGAUCUCGUAAUUGGAAUGAGUACAAUUUAAAUCUCUUAACGAGGAACAAUUGGAGGGCAAGUCUGGUGCCAGCAGCCGCGGUAAUUCCAGCUCCAAUAGCGUAUAUUAAAGUUGUUGCAGUUAAAAAGCUCGUAGUUGAAUUUCGGGAUCAAUUUAUCGGUCGUGCCUCCGGUACGUACUGGUUUUAUUGGUUCCUCCCUUCUGACGAACCAUGAUGUCAUUAAUUUGACGUGGUGGAGAAUCAGGACUGUUACCUUGAAAAAAUUAGAGUGUUUAAAGCAGGCUAACGCUUGAAUACAUUAGCAUGGAAUAAUGAAAUAGGACGUUCGACCCUAUCUUGUUGGUUUCUAGGAUCGACGUAAUGAUUAAUAGGGAUAGUUGGGGGCAUUAGUAUUCAAUUGUCAGAGGUGAAAUUCCUGGAUUUAUUGAAGACUAACUACUGCGAAAGCAUUUGCCAAGGAUGUUUUCAUUAAUCAAGAACGAAAGUUAGGGGAUCGAAGACGAUCAGAUACCGUCGUAGUCUUAACCAUAAACUAUGCCGACUAGGGAUCGGAUGAUGUUAAUUUUUUAAUGACUCAUUCGGCGCCUUACGGGAAACCAAAGUGUUUGGGUUC